GGAAGGAUCAUUAACGAUUUCGGUUUACACCGUUUUCUACCUAUGUCUACGCGUACCACAUGUUUCCUCGGGGGCUUGCCCCCCGUUAGGACUCACUAUCAACCUUUUUGCAAUAGCAGUCAGCGUCUGAUAAAUAAUUUAAUUAUUAAAACUUUCAACAAUGGAUCUCUUGGUUCUGGCAUCGAUGAAGAACGCAGCGAAAUGCGAUAAGUAGUGUGAAUUGCAGAAUUCAGUGAAUCAUCGAAUCUUUGAACGCACAUUGCGCCCCUUGGUAUUCCAUGGGGCAUGCCUGUUCGAGCGUCAUUUGAACCCUCAAGCUCUGCUUGGUGUUGGGUGUUUGUCCCGCUAUUGCGCGUGGACUCGCCUUAAAGUAAUUGGCAGCCAUGUAAUUCGGCUUUGAGCGCAGCACAUUGCGUACUCUAUGCUGGUACAUUGGCAUCCAGAAGCCUUUUUUUACUCUUGACCUCGGAUCAGGUAGGGAUACCCGCUGAACUUAAGCAUAUCAAUAAGCGGAGGAAAAGAAACCAACAGGGAUUGCCCUAGUAACGGCGAGUGAAGCGGCAACAGCUCAAAUUUGAAAUCUGAUCUCUUCGAGGUCCGAGUUGUAAUUUGUAGAGGGCGCUUUGGUGUUGGCUGCGGUCUAAGUUCCUUGGAACAGGACGUCAUAGAGGGUGAGAAUCCCGUCUGUGGUCGCAUGUCUUCACCGUGUAAAGCCCCUUCGACGAGUCGAGUUGUUUGGGAAUGCAGCUCUAAAUGGGAGGUAAAUUUCUUCUAAAGCUAAAUACUGGCCAGAGACCGAUAGCGCACAAGUAGAGUGAUCGAAAGAUGAAAAGCACUUUGGAAAGAGAGUCAAACAGCACGUGAAAUUGUUGAAAGGGAAGCGCUUGCAGCCAGACUUGCUUGCAGUUGCUCAUCCGGGCGCUCGCCCGGUGCACUCUUCUGUAGGCAGGCCAGCAUCAGUUUGGGCGGUUGGAUAAAGGCCUCUGUCAUGUAUCUUCUCCGGAAGACCUUAUAGGGGAGGCGUAAUGCAACCAGCCUGGACUGAGGUCCGCGCAUCUGCUAGGAUGCUGGCGUAAUGGCUGUAAGCGGCCCGUCUUGAAACACGGACCAAGGAGUCUAACAUCUAUGCGAGUGUUUGGGUGUCAAGCCCGGGCGCGCAAUGAAAGUGAACGGAGGUGGGAACCCUUCGGGGUGCACCAUCGACCGAUCCUGAUGUCUUCGGAUGGAUUUGAGUAAGAGCAUAGCUGUUGGGACCCGAAAGAUGGUGAACUAUGCUUGAAUAGGGUGAAGCCAGAGGAAACUCUGGUGGAGGCUCGCAGCGGUUCUGACGUGCAAAUCGAUCGUCAAAUUUGGGCAUAGGGGCGAAAGACUAAUCGAACUAUCUAGUAGCUGGUUCCUGC
This 1400-nucleotide unclassified non-coding RNA is filed under the name uncultured Pleosporales. RNAcentral's name for it is "sequence contains 18S rRNA gene, ITS1, 5.8S rRNA gene, ITS2, 28S rRNA gene". The stretch from base 461 to 1400 matches the Rfam family "Eukaryotic large subunit ribosomal RNA", at positions 1 to 961 of the family's 3401-position model. Lineage: Eukaryota; Fungi; Ascomycota; Dothideomycetes; Pleosporales. The record is from RNAcentral.